This 366-nucleotide ribosomal RNA is filed under the name Kosakonia sacchari. RNAcentral describes it as "bacterial SSU rRNA". It matches the Rfam family "Bacterial small subunit ribosomal RNA", at positions 1012 to 1378 of the family's 1533-position model. Lineage: Bacteria; Pseudomonadati; Pseudomonadota; Gammaproteobacteria; Enterobacterales; Enterobacteriaceae. The record is from RNAcentral.
UGGUGCCUUCGGGAACUGUGAGACAGGUGCUGCAUGGCUGUCGUCAGCUCGUGUUGUGAAAUGUUGGGUUAAGUCCCGCAACGAGCGCAACCCUUAUCCUUUGUUGCCAGCGGUUAGGCCGGGAACUCAAAGGAGACUGCCAGUGAUAAACUGGAGGAAGGUGGGGAUGACGUCAAGUCAUCAUGGCCCUUACGACCAGGGCUACACACGUGCUACAAUGGCGCAUACAAAGAGAAGCAAUCUCGCGAGAGCUAGCGGACCUCAUAAAGUGCGUCGUAGUCCGGAUUGGAGUCUGCAACUCGACUCCAUGAAGUCGGAAUCGCUAGUAAUCGUGAAUCAGAAUGUCACGGUGAAUACGUUCCCGGG